Non-coding RNA from Pteronotus mesoamericanus, 578 nucleotides. The record is from the annotation of a RefSeq genome assembly. NCBI's taxonomy places the organism in Eukaryota, Metazoa, Chordata, Mammalia, Chiroptera, Mormoopidae.
CUUCAGCUGUGGGGCCACAGAAGGCAGGACUCAGCAUGGCCUCUAGCAUGGCCUGGUCCCCUCUCCUCCUCGCCCUCCUCGCUCACUGCACAGGAUCCUGGGCGCAGUCUGUGCUGACUCAGCCGUCCUCAGCGUCUGGGAACCCAGGACAGACGGUCACCAUCUCCUGCACUGGAAGCAGCUCCAACAUCGGGGAUGGUUACAGUGUGGGCUGGUACCAACAGGUCCCAGGAAGACCCCCUAAAACCGUCAUCUAUGGUACUAACAGCAGACCCUCCGGGGUCCCCGACCGAUUCUCUGGCUCCACGUCUGGCAGCUCAGCCACCCUGACCAUCUCUGGGCUCCAGGCUGAGGACGAGGCCGAUUAUUACUGUCAGUCCUAUGACAAGAGUCUGAGUGGUCCCACAGUGCUGCAGGCCUGCGGGGAAACGUUCCUGAUGUCAGGGGAGGCUGUCCUGGGAACAGAGUCCAUGAUGGCGCAGGAAGGACCAGGGACGCAGACCCAGCAGGGUCCGACUUCACCCUGCGUGGUCCGCGGCCCGUUCCCUGGAGCAGGUCUGGCAGCUCAGGCCCCUUGA